RNAcentral lists this ribosomal RNA (1081 nucleotides) under uncultured organism. Its description in RNAcentral is "bacterial SSU rRNA". It matches the Rfam family "Bacterial small subunit ribosomal RNA", at positions 383 to 1467 of the family's 1533-position model. The record is from RNAcentral.
CUGACGAUGCGACGCCGCGUGGAGGAUGAAUGCCUUAGGGUUGUAAACUCCUGUCAAGAGGGAAUACGCAAGUGAAGGUACCUCUAGAGGAAGGGGCGGCUAAUUCCGUGCCAGCAGCCGCGGUAACACGGAAGCCCCGAGCGUUGUUCGGAUUCAUUGGGCGUACAGGGUGCGUAGGCGGCGCGGAAAGUCCGGCGUGAAAGGCAGGGGCUCAACCUCUGGACUGCGUUGGAUACUUCCGUGCUUGAGGACUGGAGGGGAGACUGGAAUUCACGGUGUAGCAGUGAAAUGCGUAGAUAUCGUGAGGAAGACCGGUGGCGAAGGCGAGUCUCUGGACAGAUCCUGACGCUGAGGCACGAAGGCUGGGGGAGCGAACAGGAUUAGAUACCCUGGUAGUCCCAGCAGUAAACGAUGUGAGCUUGAUGUGGGGGGAUUCGACCCCUUCCGUGUCGAAGCUAACGCGAUAAGCUCACCGCCUGAGGAGUACGGCCGCAAGGCUAAAACUCAAAGAAAUUGACGGGGACCCGCACAAGCGGUGGAGUAUGUGGCUUAAUUCGAUGCAACGCGAAGAACCUUACCUGGCCUUGACAUGCAUUGUGUCGUCGGUGAAAGCCGGCCAGUCCUGGAAACAGGACGCUUUGCACAGGUGCUGCAUGGCUGUCGUCAGCUCGUGUCGUGAGAUGUUGGGUUAAGUCCCGCAACGAGCGCAACCCUUGUGGUCAGUUACUAACCGGCUUAGCCGGAGGACUCUGGCCAGACUGCCCUGUCAAACGGGGAGGAAGGUGGGGACGACGUCAAGUCAGUAUGGCCCUUAUGGCCAGGGCUGCACACGUACUACAAUGCCCGGUACAAUGUGAACCGAAACCGCGAGGUGGAGGAAAUCGCUCUUGAAAACCGGGCCCAGUUCGGAUUGGAGUCUGCAACUCGACUCCAUGAAGUCGGAAUCGCUAGUAAUGGCGUAUCAGCAACGACGCCGUGAAUACGUUCCCGGGUCUGUACACACCGCCCGUCACAUCAUGGAAGUCUCCUGUACCCGAAGCACGUGCGCCAACCUUUCAGGAGGCAGCGUUCGAAGGUAUGG